This 495-nucleotide long non-coding RNA is filed under the name Suricata suricatta (meerkat). RNAcentral's name for it is "lncRNA (ENSSSUG00005001934.1)". The record is from RNAcentral. Lineage: Eukaryota; Metazoa; Chordata; Mammalia; Carnivora; Herpestidae.
CUACUGCCUCUGUUCUCUCUUGCGAUGUGACUGAUUCCCACCAAGGCUACCAAAUGCUAUUCGCCUGGAGACCCAUUAAAUUCAGCAGACAACCAAGAGAGCUUCAGGAGCCAAAGGUGAACAAGAAAUAAUUCUUAGACUCAGUGACUUAACAUGAAUGUCUGCCUCUUCUUCUGAACAAAACCUGAAGCAGUGUAAAUGAAAGAGUUUGUCUCCUUGAAAAUCCAGUGGAAGAGAAGAAUGAAGCUACAGGUUCUUAAUAUUCAGCUUCAUCUCCUGGAAAGCAUGAGACAUCGCGGAAUUUACAAAACAAAUCCUUGCCAUCUUCAAAGAGUUCACAAGGAAUCAUUCUCAGAUAUUUCUCAUCUGUGGCUUCAUGAACACGUGUUUAGUAAGAGCCACAAGAAAGACCCAUAUACUUCCGAGUCCAAGAACUUCUAUUUCAUAUCUCUAAUGUCUUACACAUUAUAAGGUACUCAACAAAUAGUCAUAAAG